GAUGAACGCUGGCGGCGUGCCUAAUACAUGCAAGUCGAGCGAACAGACGAGGAGCUUGCUCCUCUGACGUUAGCGGCGGACGGGUGAGUAACACGUGGAUAACCUACCUAUAAGACUGGGAUAACUUCGGGAAACCGGAGCUAAUACCGGAUAAUAUAUUGAACCGCAUGGUUCAAUAGUGAAAGACGGUUUUGCUGUCACUUAUAGAUGGAUCCGCGCCGCAUUAGCUAGUUGGUAAGGUAACGGCUUACCAAGGCGACGAUGCGUAGCCGACCUGAGAGGGUGAUCGGCCACACUGGAACUGAGACACGGUCCAGACUCCUACGGGAGGCAGCAGUAGGGAAUCUUCCGCAAUGGGCGAAAGCUUGACGGAGCAACGCCGCGUGAGUGAUGAAGGUCUUCGGAUCGUAAAACUCUGUUAUUAGGGAAGAACAAAUGUGUAAGUAACGAUGCACGUCUUGACGGUACCUAAUCAGAAAGCCACGGCUAACUACGU
RNAcentral lists this ribosomal RNA (496 nucleotides) under uncultured bacterium. Its description in RNAcentral is "partial 16S ribosomal RNA". It matches the Rfam family "Bacterial small subunit ribosomal RNA", at positions 28 to 506 of the family's 1533-position model. The record is from RNAcentral.